CCUUUCUUUUCCUCUACUUUUUUUCUCCCUUCCUCCCAUCCAUCUUCCUUGCCUCCCGCUCGUUCCUCACUGCCUUGCCUUCUCUCCUUUUCCAUUUCCUUUUCUUUCUUUCCUUUCAUUCCAUCAUUCAUUAUUCUUUCUGUCCCUGUCUCCUUCCUUUGCCCCCUCCCUUCCUACCUUUCUUAAUUGUAGCAAAUAUUUUUUAAAGUUUAGUUUGCAAGUUUGAUAGCUUGAGUUCAAAUCCUGGUUGUGUCAUUCCCUAUCUGUAUGACCUUAGAUACAGCAAUGACUGUGACCAAUGUAAUUAACAAGCCCAUGGAGUUUAUAAUAGGCCUGUCAAGAAAACUGAGGCAUGCAGCUAGUAAGUGGCAGAACCAAGGUUUCAAUUUGGACCUUGUUUUCAAGGAUUUCAUCAAAUGGUCUGCUGCACUGUGCUGGAAUUUUGAACUCCCCAGAGUAGUAAACAACAUCUUCUCAAGGGUAUACAAAUCAUCAGAUAGAGAAAACACCCAUUAUAGAGCUGUGGAGCCCUUACGAUAUAGUGCUAUGCUGC
Molecule: long non-coding RNA, 553 nt
Filed under: Pan troglodytes (chimpanzee)
Lineage: Eukaryota; Metazoa; Chordata; Mammalia; Primates; Hominidae
Description: long non-coding RNA NONPTRT011446
Source: RNAcentral